RNAcentral lists this unclassified non-coding RNA (284 nucleotides) under air metagenome. RNAcentral describes it as "partial contains small subunit ribosomal RNA, internal transcribed spacer 1, and 5.8S ribosomal RNA". The stretch from base 1 to 46 matches the Rfam family "Eukaryotic small subunit ribosomal RNA", at positions 1786 to 1831 of the family's 1831-position model. The record is from RNAcentral.
AAGUCGUAACAAGGUUUCCGUAGGUGAACCUGCGGAAGGAUCAUUAAUUAUUCAUCGGAAGAGUCCAGGUGGGCUGUGGAGGUAUGGGCAACCAUGCCUACCACACGCCCCUUCUUCAUGAACAUCCCUUCUGUGUAUCAAACCUUUGUUGCUUCCCGCAUGGCGUGGCCUGCAAGGGCUACACUGCGGGGAGGAUAUCAUAAACUCUGGUUGUUGUAUUGUUAGUCUGAGUGGUAAACACAUUAAACAAGUUAAAACUUUCAACAACGGAUCUCUUGGUUCUC